CCUACGGGAGGCAGCAGUAGGGAAUAUUGCUCAAUGGGGGAAACCCUGAAGCAGCAACGCCGCGUGGAGGAUGAAGGUUUUCGGAUUGUAAACUCCUUUUGUUAGAGAAGAUAAUGACGGUAUCUAACGAAUAAGCACCGGCUAACUCCGUGCCAGCAGCCGCUGUAAUACGGCGGGUGCAAGCGUUACUCGGAAUCACUGGGCGUAAAGAGCGCGUAGGCGGGAUAGCAAGUCAGAUGUGAAAUCCUAGGGCUUAACCAUAGAACGGCAUUUGAAACUGUUAUUCUAGAGUAUGUGAGAGGUAGGUGGAAUUCUUGGUGUAGGGGUAAAAUCCGUAGAGAUCAAGAGGAAUACUCAUUGCGAAGGCGACCUGCUAGAACAUAACUGACGCUGAUGCGCGAAAGCGUGGGGAGCAAACAGGAUUAGAUACCCGGGUAGUC
This 440-nucleotide ribosomal RNA is filed under the name uncultured bacterium. RNAcentral describes it as "partial 16S ribosomal RNA". It matches the Rfam family "Bacterial small subunit ribosomal RNA", at positions 338 to 795 of the family's 1533-position model. The record is from RNAcentral.